RNAcentral lists this ribosomal RNA (497 nucleotides) under uncultured bacterium. RNAcentral describes it as "partial 16S ribosomal RNA". It matches the Rfam family "Bacterial small subunit ribosomal RNA", at positions 28 to 507 of the family's 1533-position model. The record is from RNAcentral.
GAUGAACGCUGGCGGCGUGCCUAAUACAUGCAAGUCGAGCGAACAGACGAGGAGCUUGCUCCUCUGACGUUAGCGGCGGACGGGUGAGUAACACGUGGAUAACCUACCUAUAAGACUGGGAUAACUUCGGGAAACCGGAGCUAAUACCGGAUAAUAUAUUGAACCGCAUGGUUCAAUAGUGAAAGACGGUUUUGCUGUCACUUAUAGAUGGAUCCGCGCCGCAUUAGCUAGUUGGUAAGGUAACGGCUUACCAAGGCAACGAUGCGUAGCCGACCUGAGAGGGUGAUCGGCCACACGGGAACGGAGACACGGUCCAGACUCCUACGGGAGGCAGCAGUAGGGAAUCUUCCGCAAUGGGCGAAAGCCUGACGGAGCAACGCCGCGUGAGUGAUGAAGGUCUUCGGAUCGUAAAACUCUGUUAUUAGGGAAGAACAAAUGGGUAAGUAACUAUGCACGUCUUGACGGUACCUAAUCAGAAAGCCACGGCUAACUACGUG